AUAGAGUCAAGUGAAUAAGUGCAUCAGGCGGAUGCCUUGGCGAUGAUAGGCGACGAAGGACGUGUAAGCCUGCGAAAAGCGCGGGGGAGCUGGCAAUAAAGCUAUGAUUCCGCGAUGUCCGAAUGGGGAAACCCACUGCAUUCUGUGCAGUAUCCUAAGUUGAAUACAUAGGCUUAGAGAAGCGAACCCGGAGAACUGAACCAUCUAAGUACCCGGAGGAAAAGAAAUCAACCGAGAUUCCGCAAGUAGUGGCGAGCGAACGCGGAGGAGCCUGUACGUAAUAACUGUCGAGAUAGAAGAACAAGCUGGGAAGCUUGACCAUAGCGGGUGACAGUCCCGUAUUCGAAAUCUCAACAGCGGUACUAAGCGUACGAAAAGUAGGGCGGGACACGUGAAAUCCUGUCUGAAUAUGGGGGGACCAUCCUCCAAGGCUAAAUACUCAUCAUCGACCGAUAGUGAACCAGUACCGUGAGGGAAAGGCGAAAAGAACCCCGGGAGGGGAGUGAAACAGAACCUGAAACCUGAUGCAUACAAACAGUGGGAGCGCCCUAGUGGUGUGACUGCGUACCUUUUGUAUAAUGGGUCAACGACUUACAUUCAGUAGCGAGCUUAACCGGAUAGGGGAGGCGUAGGGAAACCGAGUCUUAAUAGGGCGAUGAGUUGCUGGGUGUAGACCCGAAACCGAGUGAUCUAUCCAUGGCCAGGUUGAAGGUGCCGUAACAGGUACUGGAGGACCGAACCCACGCAUGUUGCAAAAUGCGGGGAUGAGCUGUGGGUAGGGGUGAAAGGCUAAACAAACUCGGAGAUAGCUGGUUCUCCCCGAAAACUAUUUAGGUAGUGCCUCGAGCAAGACACUGAUGGGGGUAAAGCACUGUUAUGGCUAGGGGGUUAUUGCAACUUACCAACCCAUGGCAAACUCAGAAUACCAUCAAGUGGUUCCUCGGGAGACAGACAGCGGGUGCUAACGUCCGUUGUCAAGAGGGAAACAACCCAGACCGCCGGCUAAGGUCCCAAAUGAUAGAUUAAGUGGUAAACGAAGUGGGAAGGCACAGACAGCCAGGAUGUUGGCUUAGAAGCAGCCAUCAUUUAAAGAAAGCGUAAUAGCUCACUGGUCGAGUCGUCCUGCGCGGAAGAUGUAACGGGGCUCAAAUCUAUAACCGAAGCUGCGGAUGCCGGUUUACCGGCAUGGUAGGGGAGCGUUCUGUAGGCUGAUGAAGGUGCAUUGUAAAGUGUGCUGGAGGUAUCAGAAGUGCGAAUGUUGACAUGAGUAGCGAUAAAGCGGGUGAAAAGCCCGCUCGCCGAAAGCCCAAGGUUUCCUACGCAACGUUCAUCGGCGUAGGGUAAGUCGGCCCCUAAGGCGAGGCAGAAAUGCGUAGUCGAUGGGAAACAGGUUAAUAUUCCUGUACUUGAUUCAAAUGCGAUGUGGGGACGGAGAAGGUUAGGUUGGCAAGCUGUUGGAAUAGCUUGUUUAAGCCGGUAGGUGGAAGACUUAGGCAAAUCCGGGUUUUCUUAACACCGAGAAGUGAUGACGAGUGUCUACGGACACGAAGCAACCGAUACCACGCUUCCAGGAAAAGCCACUAAGCUUCAGUUUGAAUCGAACCGUACCGCAAACCGACACAGGUGGGCAGGAUGAGAAUUCUAAGGCGCUUGAGAGAACUCGGGAGAAGGAACUCGGCAAAUUGAUACCGUAACUUCGGGAGAAGGUAUGCCCUCUAAGGUUAAGGACUUGCUCCGUAAGCCCCGGAGGGUCGCAGAGAAUAGGUGGCUGCGACUGUUUAUUAAAAACACAGCACUCUGCCAACACGAAAGUGGACGUAUAGGGUGUGACGCCUGCCCGGUGCCGGAAGGUUAAUUGAAGAUGUGCAAGCAUCGGAUCGAAGCCCCGGUAAACGGCGGCCGUAACUAUAACGGUCCUAAGGUAGCGAAAUUCCUUGUCGGGUAAGUUCCGACCCGCACGAAUGGCGUAACGAUGGCCACACUGUCUCCUCCCGAGACUCAGCGAAGUUGAAGUGGUUGUGAAGAUGCAAUCUACCCGCUGCUAGACGGAAAGACCCCGUGAACCUUUACUGUAGCUUUGCAUUGGACUUUGAAGUCACUUGUGUAGGAUAGGUGGGAGGCUUGGAAGCAGAGACGCCAGUCUCUGUGGAGUCGUCCUUGAAAUACCACCCUGGUGUCUUUGAGGUUCUAACCCAGACCCGUCAUCCGGGUCGGGGACCGUGCAUGGUAGGCAGUUUGACUGGGGCGGUCUCCUCCCAAAGCGUAACGGAGGAGUUCGAAGGUUACCUAGGUCCGGUCGGAAAUCGGACUGAUAGUGCAAUGGCAAAAGGUAGCUUAACUGCGAGACCGACAAGUCGGGCAGGUGCGAAAGCAGGACAUAGUGAUCCGGUGGUUCUGUAUGGAAGGGCCAUCGCUCAACGGAUAAAAGGUACUCCGGGGAUAACAGGCUGAUUCCGCCCAAGAGUUCAUAUCGACGGCGGAGUUUGGCACCUCGAUGUCGGCUCAUCACAUCCUGGGGCUGUAGUCGGUCCCAAGGGUAUGGCUGUUCGCCAUUUAAAGUGGUACGUGAGCUGGGUUUAAAACGUCGUGAGACAGUUUGGUCCCUAUCUGCAGUGGGCGUUGGAAGUUUGACGGGGGCUGCUCCUAGUACGAGAGGACCGGAGUGGACGAACCUCUGGUGUACCGGUUGUAACGCCAGUUGCAUAGCCGGGUAGCUAAGUUCGGAAGAGAUAAGCGCUGAAAGCAUCUAAGCGCGAAACUCGCCUGAAGAUGAGACUUCCCUUGCGGUUUAACCGCACUAAAGGGUCGUUCGAGACCAGGACGUUGAUAGGUGGGGUGUGGAAGCGCGGUAACGCGUGAAGCUAACCCAUACUAAUUGCCCGUGAGGCUUGACUCUAU
Molecule: ribosomal RNA, 2898 nt
Filed under: Neisseria gonorrhoeae
Lineage: Bacteria; Pseudomonadati; Pseudomonadota; Betaproteobacteria; Neisseriales; Neisseriaceae
Also listed under: 3 other names
Description: bacterial LSU rRNA
Rfam family: Bacterial large subunit ribosomal RNA
Source: RNAcentral